Molecule: ribosomal RNA, 253 nt
Filed under: uncultured bacterium
Lineage: Bacteria
Description: partial 16S ribosomal RNA
Rfam family: Bacterial small subunit ribosomal RNA
Source: RNAcentral
UACGUAGGGUGCGAGCGUUAAUCGGAAUUACUGGGCGUAAAGCGUGCGCAGGCGGUUUUGUAAGCCAGAUGUGAAAGCCCCGGGCUUAACCUGGGAAUGGCAUUUGGGACUGCAAGGCUUGAGUGCGGCAGAGGAGACUGGAAUUCCUGGUGUAGCAGUGAAAUGCGUAGAUAUGUGGAGGAACACCGAUGGCGAAGGCAGCCCCCUGGGUUAACACUGACGCUCAUGCACGAAAGCGUGGGGAGCAAAUAGG